CAGAGCGCUCUGGAGGAUGGGGAAAGCGGUGUUCCCGUCGCCCUCCGCCCACUUAUCAUUGUCGGGGUGGAGGAGCUCUGGACAGAACCAGGAAACUUGAUGAGAGCAGACACUUACUCUGGAAGUCUUUGGUGAGCUCACUUAGCUUGGUGGAGCUGCUCCCUGGAGCUGCUUCCCCCCUGGUUUCCCAUCGUGCCCACGCAUAAAGGAAAGACCUCAAGAGGCACGGAAACCACGGAAAAGAUGCUUUGUUGUCUCCCAUACUUUGGAACUAAGUUUUGUAGCACAUUUGAUAUAAAGGCAGUUUAUCUCUCUGUGUGUGUGUGUGUGUGUGUGUGUGUGUGUGUGUGUGUGUGUGUGCGCGCGCAUUUGCAAGUGCUUAGGGCUAGGACCUGCAAGAAUGACACAGAAUGUCUUCUCAAUGUUGAAAUGACUGGUGACUUUUUUCAGCAUACAUAAAGCUCCACGGGUGAAGGACAGUAAGUCCACCUUCCCAACGCUGUAGCUGUGAAUAAAUAAUUCACAACCAUGUGAUUUUAAAAUCCUCUCUAGAAUAUCAAAAUAAAUCAUUAAAAGGGAACGUCUCUUGCAAUUAGCAGACUGACCUAACAACCACAGAUAACCAAUCUGAUUUUUCUCUCUGCCUUAACUAGAUUCUAAACUAAAUUGAUCUACUGUCUUCUAUUUACAGGAAGACGCCUAAACCAGCCUUGGGGUUAUGACUGCCUCUACAAACCAUCCUUCUUGGUCCUGUAUGGGAAGUACAGAGACACUUCCUAGAAUAAAUCAAUACCCAUAUCUAACACAUAUUUCAAAACAUGUUCCUUCCUAAUUUAUUUGAUGAAUUUUUUUUUCUUUUCUCAGAAGCAUGCUUCUCUCUCUUUCCACAUCUAUUUCAAAAAGCAAAGUAUCUUUCAGAAGCCUGGGAACAUAUUAAUUCUCAGUGCAUAGUUAGAAACUUCACAUUAAAGUUAAAAUAACUAUAGGAGUAAAGUCAAUGCAUUUUAGAAAGUCAGUUAAAAGGAGGUCGUCCACUUUAAGUACUAAUAAAAAUAAAUCCUUCUAGAAAAGGCUGCACCUGGAUCUAGGAUUCUUGGGACAGGUAAGGAAGAGUCCACACAGAGUGAGAUUUCAGGCAUUAAGCUUCCCAUUAGACAUCCCCCAGGGAAGGCUUCUGGAGUGGUGUUCUCCAGGGUUUAAAGUGGCUAAGCAUCUCCAAAAGGCUUCAAAACACUGACUCUCUGCAGCACAGGUGAGCUGCUCCCUUGGUGCGUCUGCAGUGAAGGCUGAGAUGCUGCCUUUCUUGGUCUGCAGAUGCAGCUGGCACCUCUGCCUUGAAGAUGAAGACCUGACCAACAAAGGGACCAUCUCCAGGACCUGCAAGAGGCCUGCAGUGCCCCUUGGGGCUGUCAGGGCUGGGGAUCCUGCCCGGAGUCACCCUCCUGAGUCGGGUGACAUCUGGAGGGAGGACCUUGAUCUUCUCCCUGACUCCCUGGUCACCAAAGGAGGGUUCCCUCCAGAUCUAGCUUCCUCUCUACCUCUGUCCUCCCACAGUGGCUGCCUCAAGAAGCCCCGUCCCAGUUCCCCUUGAGAAGAGCUGUGAUCCAGGGCUUCCAGAGUUGACUUGCUCUUGAAUUCCAGUUCCAUCUGCUACUAGUUCUAUGAGCUCCAGCAAGCCAGAACACGCGAGGCUGGAGCGACACAGAAGGGGAUUCGUGCAAAUCACAUGUGUUCCGUUUUGCCAAAAGAAGAGACCCCCUGAGACUUCUAUCACAAGUCUGGCUCUGGGAUCAGUUUAACAACCCGCUUUGAAUGCAUAUGAGUCCUGACUGCUAAAUUUGCAAAUGCUUCCACAUAAAGGUUAUGCACCUACUGUAAAUGUGGCAUCUAUUCAGAAGAUAGCCAUAUUGGUUGCUAGGAGAUGGAGGGAUCCUCUCAGAGAAAAAUCAGUCCUGACAAAAAAAAUUUUUUUUUUUUACAUAAAGACCUUUUAAAUAUAAAUACCUUUGACAGCAGCUAUUAUUAUUCACUGAGUUCCUUCACAUCUGAAUAAAUGGCAGAAAAAUGAUGAUAUUAUUCAUAUGCCAUUAUACACUAAA
This is a long non-coding RNA of Ictidomys tridecemlineatus (thirteen-lined ground squirrel), 2099 nucleotides long. RefSeq lists it as uncharacterized. NCBI's taxonomy places the organism in Eukaryota, Metazoa, Chordata, Mammalia, Rodentia, Sciuridae. The record is from RefSeq and is a predicted model, not a curated record.